AUGUAUCAGAUGAGGAAGCUGUGGUGUGCUCCAUACCUGGUGGGGCGUUGUUUCUUAGGAUUGAGCAGCAAUCAGCGUAGUGAGAGCCUCAACUCGGUGCUACAUACACAUCUUGAGGGUAAGAUGACAUUGUUUGAUAUGCUAGAGCACUAUGAGCGUUGCCUUUCGGGACGACGCUUGAAUGAGGCGAUCCUAGACAUCGUGGCCUUACAGUCCGUUAUACUCACCGACGCGGAUGCUUCAAGUCUUGAGAAACAUGCUGCCCGGGUUUUCACGCCUUGUAUGUUUGAGCUGGUUAGAUGGAGCAUAAAUGCCGUCAGCAAAUGUGUUAUCAGCGAGAUACUAGACGCAUGGGAGUUGACUACAUAUGUUGUCGCUAAGAUCGAUAGAAGGGAGAAGAAGUUCGAAGUGCGCUGUAAGGUGAAGGAAGGUUCUUUGUACAGGAUCAGUUGCUCUUGUCAUAAGCUGGAAUGCUUGGGAACACCAUGCUCUCACAUAUUCUACAUCUUGGGAAUACGUCAAGUGGAACUGCUGCCUAGGUGUUGUGUUCCCAUGAGGUGGACGAUGAGUGCGAAGUCAGCAUUCCCUCCGACCAGAAAGAGCGAGAUGUAUGACUAUUCAGAAAGCCUUGUGAGGUACCGUGAGUUGCGGAAUUUGAGUCACGCGACAUGUUUCUGCGCAUGUCAAUCCAGUGAGGAGUAUCAGCGUCUGAAGACGGUUCUGAAUGCACAAGAUGGCAGCAAGGAAUCAAGCCGUGGUCAGGAGGAAUGCAUUAUGUUUGGUCCGGUGCUGCCACAGAUGACGGAAAUUGAUUGUGCAGAUUUGGAAAAGGUUCUAGACCCAGUGCAUGUGCAAGGCCGAGGUGCACCGAAGAAAAGGUUGCAGGCAAAGAUGAAGAAGCAAAGAUCAAAGAGGAAAUGUGGCUACUGUGGGGUGGAAGGCCAUGAUCGGCGUAUAUGCACUAAAUUGGAAGAGGAAGUGAUGGGCUGA
RNAcentral lists this ribosomal RNA (990 nucleotides) under Triticum aestivum (bread wheat). RNAcentral's name for it is "partial small subunit ribosomal RNA". Lineage: Eukaryota; Viridiplantae; Streptophyta; Magnoliopsida; Poales; Poaceae. The record is from RNAcentral.